GGCUCAGUGGUCGAGGGAUAUGAUUCUCGCUUUGGGUGUGAGAGGUCCCGAGUACAAAUCCCGGCUAAGCCC
Molecule: transfer RNA, 72 nt
Filed under: Rodentolepis nana
Lineage: Eukaryota; Metazoa; Platyhelminthes; Cestoda; Cyclophyllidea; Hymenolepididae
Description: Hymenolepis nana tRNA
Source: Rfam by way of RNAcentral